This 377-nucleotide unclassified non-coding RNA is filed under the name uncultured Gammaproteobacteria bacterium. RNAcentral's name for it is "contains 16S-23S intergenic spacer region". Lineage: Bacteria; Pseudomonadati; Pseudomonadota; Gammaproteobacteria. The record is from RNAcentral.
UCCGGUUUGUCACCGGCAGUCUCAUUAGAGUGCUCCCUUGCGGGUAGCAACUAAUGACAAGGGUUGCGCUCGUUGCGGGACUUAACCCAACAUCUCACGACACGAGCUGACGACAGCCAUGCAGCACCUGUGUUCCGAUUCCCUUUCGGGCACAGCCCCAUCUCUGGAGCCUCUCGGACAUGUCAAGGGUAGGUAAGGUUUUUCGCGUUGCAUCGAAUUAAUCCACAUAAUCCACCGCUUGUGCGGGUCCCCGUCAAUUCCUUUGAGUUUUAACCUUGCGGCCGUACUCCCCAGGCGGUCGACUUCACGCGUUAGCUUCGUUACUGAGAGUGUCAAACCCCCAACAACCAGUCGACAUCGUUUAGGGCGUGGACUAC